This 537-nucleotide long non-coding RNA is filed under the name Sorghum bicolor (sorghum). Its description in RNAcentral is "long non-coding RNA (SBIC_LNC009450)". The record is from RNAcentral. Lineage: Eukaryota; Viridiplantae; Streptophyta; Magnoliopsida; Poales; Poaceae.
UAGAAGACACUAUCUGAAUGUGUGAAACUCUAGCAUGGAAACGCUAACUGAAUGUCCGAAACUCUAGCAUAGAAACGGUAGCAGCAGCCCGUUGCCACCAAGAUCAAUCUUGUGCUAGGGACGCACGCGACGACGAUGUCGCUGCCAAGAGCCCAGAACGUGACGAUGGUGAUGUCGCAGCAAUGACGCGAUGGCGAUGUCAACUGUGCUAGGAGCCAAGAUCAGUCUUCUAUUCACAUGACGCAAUGGCGAUAUCGCCGCAAGGAGCCCGGCCAGAAUGUGACGAGUCUUCUAUUCACGCGAAGGAGCAUAGCCGCCACCAGGAUGUUACUGCAGACGACUCCGAAGGAAUAGGUCGUGGAAAGUUUCAAGCGCCUAGCAGAAUAGGCCCGUGGUAGUUGGUAACGUGGCAAUUUUUUAAUAUACAAGAUGAGAAAUAGCAAGUUUAUUGAAAAACUCUUCUUUCUUGAGGACUUCUAUACUUUACAAAAAAGCUAAACUAUGCAAUUUAGCUAUUUAUUUUACCAUAUGUGUUGG